UUAGUACUCCUUCCGUCCGAAAAUACUUGUCGAAGAAAUGAAUGUAUCUAGACGUAUUUUAGUUCUAAAUACAUUCACUUAGAUCAAUUUCUUAAACAAAUAUUUCGGGACGGAGGGAGUAUCUA
Molecule: non-coding RNA, 125 nt
Organism: Triticum aestivum (bread wheat)
Lineage: Eukaryota; Viridiplantae; Streptophyta; Magnoliopsida; Poales; Poaceae
Source: Rfam